GAUGAACGCUGGCGGCGUGCUUAACACAUGCGAGUCGAGCGGAGAUGUUUAAAAGCUUGCUUUAAAACAUCUUAGCGGCGGACGGGUGAGUAACGUGUGGGUAAACCUGCCUUAUACUGUGGAAUAAUCACUUAGAAAAGGUGACUAAUACCGCAUGUGGUCUCUGGAGGGCAUCCUCUGGAGAAGAAAGGAUUUAUUCGGUAUAAGAUGGACCCGCAUCUGAUUAGCUAGUUGGUGAGAUAAUAGCCCACCAAGGCAACGAUCAGUAGCCGACCUGAGGGGUGAUCGGCCACAUUGGGACUGAGACACGGCCCAAACUCCUACGGGAGGCAGCAGUGGGGAAUAUUGCACAAUGGGGGAAACCCUGAUGCAGCAACGCCGCGUGAAGGAAAGAAGGGUU
RNAcentral lists this ribosomal RNA (400 nucleotides) under uncultured bacterium. RNAcentral's name for it is "bacterial SSU rRNA". It matches the Rfam family "Bacterial small subunit ribosomal RNA", at positions 28 to 417 of the family's 1533-position model. The record is from RNAcentral.